UAGAAAGUAAUAUAAAGGAAGUAUGGAGGGUUUUGAUCCCUCUUGUACAGGUUCGAUUCCUGUUUUUCUAA
Molecule: transfer RNA, 71 nt
Filed under: Nucifraga caryocatactes
Lineage: Eukaryota; Metazoa; Chordata; Aves; Passeriformes; Corvidae
Description: tRNA-Gln
Rfam family: tRNA
About the family: Transfer RNA (tRNA) molecules are approximately 80 nucleotides in length. Their secondary structure includes four short double-helical elements and three loops (D, anti-codon, and T loops).
Source: RNAcentral